RNAcentral lists this ribosomal RNA (381 nucleotides) under uncultured bacterium. Its description in RNAcentral is "bacterial SSU rRNA". It matches the Rfam family "Bacterial small subunit ribosomal RNA", at positions 28 to 406 of the family's 1533-position model. The record is from RNAcentral.
GAUGAACGCUAGCGGCAGGCCUAAUACAUGCAAGCCGAACGACAAGAUUUUCAGCAAUGGAAAUCCUAGAGUGGCGUAAGGGUGCGUAACACGUAUGCAAUCUGCCCUCAACAGGAGGAUAGCUCCCCGAAAGGGGAAUUAAGACUCCAUAAGAUCUUAGAGUGGCAUCACUUAGAGAUUAAACUACCAGGGGUUGAGGAUGAGCAUGCGCAUGAUUAGUUAGUUGGCGGGGUAACGGCCCACCAAGACGAUGAUCAUUAGGGGAACUGAGAGGUUGAUCCCCCACACUGGCACUGAGAUACGGGCCAGACUCCUACGGGAGGCAGCAGUAGGGAAUAUUGGACAAUGGGUGCAAGCCUGAUCCAGCCAUGCCGCGUGCAA